GACAUUUGGUAGAGACUGUUGCACCCACCUGGUCCCAGCAGACCCCAGAAAUCAGCCACAUUCGCUGGUGCUGGAACAAGUUCGUUGGGGUGAAGCCUGGUGCCAGAUGUGU
Molecule: ribosomal RNA, 112 nt
Filed under: Panthera tigris altaica (Amur tiger)
Lineage: Eukaryota; Metazoa; Chordata; Mammalia; Carnivora; Felidae
Source: RNAcentral